Molecule: ribosomal RNA, 397 nt
Filed under: uncultured soil bacterium
Lineage: Bacteria
Description: bacterial SSU rRNA
Rfam family: Bacterial small subunit ribosomal RNA
Source: RNAcentral
AGAACGAACGCUGGCGGCAUGCCUAAUACAUACAAGUCGAACGAACACUUCGGUGUUAGUGGCGCACGGGUGCGUAACGCGUGGGAAUCUGCCCUUGGGUUCGGAAUAACAGUUGGAAACGACUGCUAAUACCGGAUGAUAUCGAAAGAUCAAAGAUUUAUCGCCCAAGGAUGAGCCCGCGUAGGAUUAGCUUGUUGGUGAGGUAAGAGCUCACCAAGGCGACGAUCCUUAGCUGGUCUGAGAGGAUGAUCAGCCACACUGGGACUGAGACACGGCCCAGACUCCUACGGGAGGCAGCAGGUGGGGAAUAGUUGGACAAGUGGGACGAAAGCCUAGAUCCAGCAAUGCCGCGUGAGUGAUGAAGGCCUUAGGGUUGUAAAGUCUUCGUUUACCGGAU